UUUGGCGAGUGAAGCGGGAACAGCUCAAAUUUGAAAUCUGGCCUUCGGGUCCGAGUUGUAAUUUGCAGAGGAUGCUUUUGGUGCGGUGCGUUCCGAGUUCCCUCGAACGGGACGCCUUAGAGGGUGAGAGCCCCGUAGGGUUGGCCACCAAGCCAUUGUAAAGCUCCUUCGACGAGUCGAGUAGUUUGGGUAUGCUGCUCAAAAUGGGAGGUAUAUUUCUUCUAAAGCUAAAUACUGGCCAGAGACCGAUAGCGCACAAGUAGAGUGAUCGAAAGAUGAAAAGCACUUUGAAAAGAGGGUUAAAUAGCACGUGAAAUUGUUGAAAGGGAAGGGUUUAUGACCAGACCUUUUCUAGGGGGAUCAUCCGGUGUUCUCACCGGUGCACUUGCCCUAGUUGAGGCCAGCAUCGGAAUCUGUAGGGGGAUAAAAGCUUCGGGAAUGUGGCUCCUUCGGGAGUGUUAUAGCCCGUUGCAUAAUACCGUUACGGGGACCGAGGUCCGCGCUUCGGCUAGGAUGCUGGCGUAAAGGUUAUUAACCACCCGUCUUGUAACACGGACCAUGGAGUCGAACAUUUGUGCGAGUGUUUGGGUGUUAAACCGUCACGCGUAAUGAAAGUGAACGGAGGUGAGAGCCCUUCGGGGUGCAUCAUCGACCGAUCCUGAUGUCUUCGGAUGGAUUAGAGUAAGAGCAUAAGUGUUCGGACCCGAAAGAUGGUGAACUAUGCGUGGAUAGGGUGAAGCCAGAGGAAACUCUGGUGGAGGCUCGCAGCGGUUCUGACGUGCAAAUGGAAU
RNAcentral lists this ribosomal RNA (791 nucleotides) under Arthrinium sp. RNAcentral's name for it is "partial large subunit ribosomal RNA". It matches the Rfam family "Eukaryotic large subunit ribosomal RNA", at positions 85 to 903 of the family's 3401-position model. The record is from RNAcentral. Lineage: Eukaryota; Fungi; Ascomycota; Sordariomycetes; Amphisphaeriales; Apiosporaceae.